This 253-nucleotide ribosomal RNA is filed under the name uncultured bacterium. RNAcentral describes it as "partial 16S ribosomal RNA". It matches the Rfam family "Bacterial small subunit ribosomal RNA", at positions 524 to 776 of the family's 1533-position model. The record is from RNAcentral.
UACGGAGGGUGCAAGCGUUAUCCGGAUUCACUGGGUUUAAAGGGUGCGUAGGCGGACAGGUAAGUCAGUGGUGAAAUCUCCGAGCUUAACUCGGAAACUGCCUUUGAUACUCUCUGUCUUGAAUAUGGUGGAGGUAAGCGGAAUAUGUCAUGUAGCGGUGAAAUGCUUAGAGAUGACAUAGAACACCUAUUGCGAAGGCAGCUUACUACGCCUAUAUUGACGCUGAGGCACGAAAGCGUGGGGAUCAAACCGG